CCCUUAGAUGUUCUGGGCCGCACGCGCGCUACACUGACGAAUGCAACGAGCUUAUAACCUUGGCCGAAAGGUCUGGGUAAUCUCCAAAUUUCGUCGUGAUGGGGAUAGAUUAUUGCAAUUAUUAAUCUUCAACGAGGAAUGCCUAGUAAGCGCAAGUCAUCAGCUUGCGUUGAUUACGUCCCUGCCCUUUGUACACACCGCCCGUCGCUCCUACCGAUUGAAUGGUCCGGUGAAGCGUUCGGACCGUGGCCUUUGGAAGGUUCGCCGUCUGUUGGCUGCGGGAAGUUCGUUAAACCUUAUCAUUUAGAGGAAGGAGAAGUCGUAACA
Molecule: ribosomal RNA, 327 nt
Filed under: uncultured eukaryote
Lineage: Eukaryota
Description: partial 18S ribosomal RNA
Rfam family: Eukaryotic small subunit ribosomal RNA
Source: RNAcentral